This 131-nucleotide small nuclear RNA is filed under the name Lipomyces starkeyi NRRL Y-11557. RNAcentral describes it as "U4 spliceosomal RNA". It matches the Rfam family "U4 spliceosomal RNA". From Rfam's summary of the family: U4 small nuclear RNA (U4 snRNA) is a component of the major U2-dependent spliceosome. The structure of U4 snRNA from yeast and human has been reported. Lineage: Eukaryota; Fungi; Ascomycota; Lipomycetes; Lipomycetales; Lipomycetaceae. The record is from Rfam by way of RNAcentral.
AUCCUUAUGCUAGGGCAUUACGCAUAUCAGUGAGGAUUCGUCCGAGAUUGUGUAUUUGCUGGUUGAAAACUUUAACCUUGACCGCUCCUACGUGUCUUCGGAUGCGUAGGGAAUUUUUGGAAAAUUCCUUG